UGGGGAAUAUUGCACAAUGGGCGCAAGCCUGAUGCAGCCAUGCCGCGUGUAUGAAGAAGGCCUUCGGGUUGUAAAGUACUUUCAGCGGGGAGUAAGGUGUUGAGGUUAAUAACCUCAGCAAUUGACGUUACCCGCAGAAGAAGCACCGGCUAACUCCGUGCCAGCAGCCGCGGUAAUACGGAGGGUGCAAGCGUUAAUCGGAAUUACUGGGCGUAAAGCGCACGCAGGCGGUCUGUCAAGUCGGAUGUGAAAUCCCCGGGCUCAACCUGGGAACUGCAUUCGAAACUGGCAGGCUAGAGUCUUGUAGAGGGGGGUAGAAUUCCAGGUGUAGCGGUGAAAUGCGUAGAGAUCUGGAGGAAUACCGGUGGCGAAGGCGGCCCCCUGGACAAAGACUGACGCUCAGGUGCGAAAGCGUGGGGAGCAAACA
Molecule: ribosomal RNA, 427 nt
Filed under: uncultured bacterium
Lineage: Bacteria
Description: partial 16S ribosomal RNA
Rfam family: Bacterial small subunit ribosomal RNA
Source: RNAcentral